GAAGCGCGCCAGACAGUCGCUGUGUUCGCACAGAGGAAAGUCCGGACUCCACAGGGCAGGGUAGUGGGUAACACCCAUCCACCGCAAGGUGCGGAUCAGAGCAACAGAGACGAGUCGUCCGGUCUUGGCGACCAGCGAGCGGCGCAAGCCGCGAGCUUGUCUGCUCAAGACCGGGCGGGUGAAACGGGCAAUCUCUACCCGGAGCAAACCCAAAUAGGCAGGCGUUGAGGCGGCCCGCGGAGCCUGCGGGUAGGGUGCUAGAGGCCCACGGCAACGUGGGUCCCAGAGGAAUGACUGUCAUAGCACGCAAGUGCCGUAACAGAAUCCGGCUUAUCGGCGCGCUUCCCCU
Molecule: RNase P RNA, 349 nt
Filed under: Betaproteobacteria bacterium
Lineage: Bacteria; Pseudomonadati; Pseudomonadota; Betaproteobacteria
Description: RNase P RNA component class A
Rfam family: Bacterial RNase P class A
About the family: Ribonuclease P (RNase P) is a ubiquitous endoribonuclease, found in archaea, bacteria and eukarya as well as chloroplasts and mitochondria. Its best characterised activity is the generation of mature 5'-ends of tRNAs by cleaving the 5'-leader elements of precursor-tRNAs.
Source: RNAcentral